Nothoprocta perdicaria is the source of this 418-nucleotide long non-coding RNA. RefSeq lists it as uncharacterized. The transcript is spliced from 2 exons. Lineage: Eukaryota; Metazoa; Chordata; Aves; Tinamiformes; Tinamidae. The record is from RefSeq and is a predicted model, not a curated record.
CUCUGGAAAUCUUUGGCCUCAUAAAUUUAGAUUUUUUUUACACUUUGCCUACUAAUAUCACUCAGAUGUUCAGAGAAAGCGUUACUUAAUUUGCUGUUGUUGUAUAUCCAGAUAGUGGCCAAAAGCGCUGCAAAAUCAAGGGGCUAAUUAAUUGUUAGCAACUUAGAUUCCAAAUUAUGAGAAAYUUAGGAGCUCAAGAGUGAGGAGGAAGCUUCAGACUACCAAAGGACUACAAUUAUUAAGCAACACUUCAAUCAAAAUCUGCCAAGUGUUGGCUCUUCCUCCAGUGCAUGAUGGAUGUUCCUUCAAUGUAACCCGCAAGGAUAAAAGUUGUGCUGCUUCUCGUUCUGACACCACAGGUCUUGUGACUGCUGGAAGCAGCCYGAGAACAACCCCGUGAGGAGGACUGCAAUGACCA